This 336-nucleotide ribosomal RNA is filed under the name Collyriclum faba. RNAcentral's name for it is "SSU rRNA". It matches the Rfam family "Eukaryotic small subunit ribosomal RNA", at positions 715 to 1053 of the family's 1831-position model. The record is from RNAcentral. Lineage: Eukaryota; Metazoa; Platyhelminthes; Trematoda; Plagiorchiida; Collyriclidae.
GAUGCCUUUAACCGGGUGUCGGGGGCGGACGGCACGUUUACUUUGAACAAAUUUGAGUGCUCAAAGCAGGCUUAUGCCUGAAAAUUCUUGCAUGGAAUAAUGGAAUAGGACUUCGGUUCUAUUUUGUUGGUUUUCGGAUCCGAAGUAAUGGUUAAGAGGGACAGACGGGGGCAUUUGUAUGGCGGUGUUAGAGGUGAAAUUCUUGGAUCGCCGCCAGACAAACUACAGCGAAAGCAUUUGCCAAGGAUGUUUUCAUUGAUCUGGAGCGAAAGUCAGAGGUUCGAAGACGAUCAGAUACCGUCCUAGUUCUGACCAUAAACGAUGCCAACUGACGAU